UGAGUGCGAGCUGCUACGGCAGCGAAGUGGGUGACGUCAAGCUUCCAAGAAAAGCCCUAGACCCGUUAAGGCAUGAUUGCCUGUACCCGAAACCGACACAGGUGGGGUGGUAGAGAAUACCGAGGGGCGCGAGGUAACUCUCUCUAAGGAACUCGGCAAAAUGGCCCCGUAACUUCGGGAGAAGGGGUGCCAGCGAGAGCUGGUCGCAGUGAAGAGGCCCAGGCGACUGUUUACCAAAAACACAGGUCUCCGCUAAGUCGCAAGACGAUGUAUGGGGGCUGACGCCUGCCCAGUGCCGGAAGGUUAAGGAAGCUGGUCAGCGCAAGCGAAGCUGGCGACUGAAGCCCCGGUGAACGGCGGCCGUAACGAUAACGGUCCUAAGGUAGCGAAAUUCCUUGUCGGGUAAGUUCCGACCCGCACGAAAGGCGUAACGAUCUGGGCGCUGUCUCGGAGAGAGGCUCGGCGAAAUAGAAUUGUCUGUGAAGAUGCGGACUACGUGCACCCGGACAGAAAGACCCUAUGAAGCUUUACUGUAGCUUGGUAUUGUGCUCGGGCUCGGAAUGCGCAGGAUAGGUGGGAGGCAUUGAUCCAUUGCUUGCGGGUGAUGGUGAGCCACUGGUGAGAUACCACUCUUUUCGAGCUUAAGUUCUAACGGCCACCCGUUAUCCGGGGGCCGGACAGUAUCAGGUGGGCAGUUUGACUGGGGCGGUCGCCUCCUAAAAGGUAACGGAGGCGCGCAAAGGUCUGCUCAGGCUGGUUGGAAAUCAGCCGACGAGUGUAAAAGCAGAAGCAGGCUUGACUGUGAGACCUACAAGUCGAACAGGGAGGAAACUCGGCUUUAGUGAUCCGACGGUUCUGCGUGGAAGGGCCGUCGCUCAACGGAUAAAAGUUACUCUAAGGAUAACAGGCUGAUCUCCCCCAAGAGUUCACAUCGACGGGGAGGUUUGGCACCUCGAUGUCGGCUCAUCGCAACCUGGGGCUGAAGUCGGUCCCAAGGGUUGGGCUGUUCGCCCAUUAAAGCGGUACGCGAGCUGGGUUCAGAACGUCGUGAGACAGUUCGGUCCAUAUCCGGUGCACGCGCAGGAAUAUUGAGAGGAUUUCUCCCUAGUACGAGAGGACCGGGAGGAACGCACCUCUGGUGUGCCAGUUAUCGUGCCAACGGUAAACGCUGGGUAGCCAUGUGCGGAGAGGAUAACCGCUGAAAGCAUCUAAGUGGGAAGCCCACCUCAAGAUGAGUAUUCCCAUGGCGUUAAGCCAGUAAGGUCACGGGAAGAACACCCGUUGAUAGGCUCUAUGUGGAAGCGCAGUAAUGCGUGAAGCAGAGGAGUACUAAUAGACCGAGGGCUU
This 1347-nucleotide ribosomal RNA is filed under the name metagenome. RNAcentral's name for it is "bacterial LSU rRNA". It matches the Rfam family "Bacterial large subunit ribosomal RNA", at positions 1564 to 2925 of the family's 2925-position model. The record is from RNAcentral.